GACUUUCCUUAUGAUAUCAGUGGUUAAGGACUGCAAUAUUUUAAAAUGUUGUUUAAUGAAAUAUGUUAUUUGGAAGAUGGGCAUAACUCAGUAAAUCUAGGCUUUGCAAAUGACCAAUGCAUGAUGUUGCAAAAUCAAGCAAAGGCAAAAGAUCCUUUGAAAAUUCCAGACAUAGCAAUGGAUUUUAACAGUAAAAAAGUGGAUUGAUGUGGUUUCAGAUUCCAAAAUGUUAACUGUCCUUUAAGAAACUACUAUUUGGCCUAGCGUGAGCCACCACGCCCAACUGAAAAACGUAUUUUUAUAUGUAACCAAGGGGAGGAGAGCAGAAAAGAGACACUAACCUAUUGCUAGGUGUUAGCAGAGUUAAAAGAAAUUGAAAGCAUAGAAAUGGAAUUUAGGCAACAC
Molecule: long non-coding RNA, 405 nt
Filed under: Homo sapiens (human)
Lineage: Eukaryota; Metazoa; Chordata; Mammalia; Primates; Hominidae
Description: HSALNT0015114
Source: RNAcentral